This 1249-nucleotide ribosomal RNA is filed under the name Aphthona euphorbiae. RNAcentral's name for it is "16S ribosomal RNA". The stretch from base 1039 to 1197 matches the Rfam family "Archaeal large subunit ribosomal RNA", at positions 2542 to 2701 of the family's 2987-position model. Lineage: Eukaryota; Metazoa; Arthropoda; Insecta; Coleoptera; Chrysomelidae. The record is from RNAcentral.
UUGAAAUUAUUUUGUUAUUAAAAUUUUUAUUUUUUUAUUAUUUAAAAGAAUUAAUUUUUAUUUUAUUAUUUAAAAAGAAAAAAUAAUAUUUAUUAUAGUUGAAAGUAUUGUGAAAGAAUUUUUUUAAUUAAUAAAAAGAAAAAUUUAUUUUUUGUACCUUGUGCAUCAGGGUUUAUUAAAUUUAAGUAUAAAUUUAUUAUUCUCGAAUUUAAAAGAGCUAAAUAAUUAUUAUUUUUAUUGUAGAAUAAAUAUAUUUAAUUUUUAUUUAGUAGUGAAAUGUUAUUCGUUUUUAAAUAUAUCUAGUUAUUUAAGAAAAAAAUUUAAUUUUAAUAUUAUUAAUAUUUAUUUUAUUAUUUAAUUGGAUAUUAAUAAUAAUUAAUACUUUUAGGGAUUAGCUUAAAAGUAUAUUUUUAUUAAAAAAUAUAUUUAAAUAUAAUUUAGGAUUAGAAAUUUCCAUAAUUUAAAGUAGGUUAUACUUUAAUUUUUUUAUAUAUAAUUUUUAUUUUUUAUAAAUUUUUUAUUAAAUUUUAAAUUUUAAUUAUUUUUAUUUAGUAAUAAUGAUAAAAUUAGUAUAAAUUUUUAAAAUAAUAAAAAUUUAUUUUAGGUUAGUUUAAGGAAUUCGGCAAAUAUAAUUUUCACCUGUUUAAUAAAAACAUGUCCUUUAGUUUAAAUUUUAAGGUCUAGCCUGCCCGAUGAAGAAUUGAAUGGCCGCGAUAUUUUGAUCGUGCUAAGGUAGCAUAAUCAUUAGUUUUUUAAUUAAAAGCUAGUAUGAAGGGUUGGAUGAAAAAUUUUCUGUCUCUAAUUAAUUUUAUUAGAAUUUUAUUUUUAAGUUAAAAAGCUUAAAUAUAAUUAAAAGACGAGAAGACCCUAUAGAGUUUAAUAUAAUAAUUUAUUUAUAUCUUUAGAAUUUAAUUUAUAGAUUAAAAUUUAUAUUUAAUUGGGGUGAUUAAAAAAUUUAAAAAACUUUAAUUUUAUAUAAAUAUUAAUUAAUAAAUAUAUGAUCCAAUUUUUUUGAUUAUAAGAAAAAAUUACCUUAGGGAUAACAGCGUAAUCUUAUUAAAGAGUUCAAAUCGAAAAUAAGGAUUGCGACCUCGAUGUUGGAUUAAAAUUUGUAUUUGGUGUAGAAGUUAAAAUACUAAGUCUGUUCGACUUUUAAAAUUUUACAUGAUCUGAGUUUAAACCGGUGUAAGCCAGGUUGGUUUCUAUCUUUAAUUUAAUAAUAUAUUUUAGUACGAAAGGACCAAUUAUA